CUUCAACGAGCCCAGCAGCAGCGGCUGUUCGCGCUUCUGACCGUAGGUGGCGAGCAGGGCCUGAGCCUC
RNAcentral lists this antisense RNA (69 nucleotides) under Streptomyces sp. MnatMP-M17. RNAcentral describes it as "ASpks TB sRNA". It matches the Rfam family "ASpks TB sRNA". Lineage: Bacteria; Bacillati; Actinomycetota; Actinomycetes; Kitasatosporales; Streptomycetaceae. The record is from Rfam by way of RNAcentral.